Molecule: transfer RNA, 72 nt
Filed under: Pelodiscus shipian
Lineage: Eukaryota; Metazoa; Chordata; Testudines; Trionychidae
Description: tRNA-Lys
Source: RNAcentral
CAUUAUAGAAGCUAAACAGGUAGCACUAGCCUUUUAAGCUAGAGAAGGGAAACGCCCGCCUCCCCUUAAUGA